GACGAACGCUGGCGGCGUGCUUAACACAUGCAAGUCGAACGGAAAGGCCCUGCUUUUGUGGGGUGCUCGAGUGGCGAACGGGUGAGUAACACGUGAGUAACCUGCCCUUGACUUUGGGAUAACUUCAGGAAACUGGGGCUAAUACCGGAUAGGAGCUCCUGCUGCAUGGUGGGGGUUGGAAAGUUUCGGCGGUUGGGGAUGGACUCGCGGCUUAUCAGCUUGUUGGUGGGGUAGUGGCUUACCAAGGCUUUGACGGGUAGCCGGCCUGAGAGGGUGACCGGCCACAUUGGGACUGAGAUCCGGCCCAGACUCCUACGGGAGCCAGCAGUGGGGAAUAUUGCACAAUGGGCGGAAGCCUGAUGCAGCAACGCCGCGUGCGGGAUGACGGCCUUCGGGUUGUAAACCGCUUUCGCCUGUGACGAAGCGUGAGUGACGGUAAUGGGUAAAGAAGCACCGGCUAACUACGUG
This 468-nucleotide ribosomal RNA is filed under the name uncultured bacterium. RNAcentral describes it as "partial 16S ribosomal RNA". It matches the Rfam family "Bacterial small subunit ribosomal RNA", at positions 28 to 507 of the family's 1533-position model. The record is from RNAcentral.